AUGGUUGUCGUGCCCAAGGUCAAAUCUCAGCACGUAGAGUCUCCUCAAAGACACCUGAACUUUCUGGAUGCUCAGGUCUGCUCCAAACAACCCCUUCCCACACCUGAGAAGCUCCUGGGAGCAGCUGCACCGAGGAAACAGCUGCAAGAAGCCCUCGGGGCCCCAGGGUCCAGGAUGGGAAACGGCUCCCAGGGGGGCCCAGACUAUGGCAGGGAAGGCAGGUGCACUCAGGGCUCCUCACAGCUCCCCUGCUGCCUGCACUUAUGCACACAUGCGCCCACACGCAACGCACGCACUCUCGUGUGCACACCGAUGCCUUUCCACUGCCUCUCCUGCACUGGCACACACACGCUCACUCACACGCUGAGACCUCGCUCCCGGGGGGUGAGCCCUCUGGCUCCCGACACUGCACAGGGCUCUGUACUCUCAUGGGCGGCUCAUGUGUCACCGUGUCACCGUGUCAUUGUAGCUGGCCUGGCCGGGGACCUUUCUAGGAGGCAGAGCAGAGCAGUGGGGAGCGCCAGGCCCCGGGCGCAGAUGGCAGGCGACCACGGCCAGUGUGUGCUGCUCUGGGCUCUGGGCAGGCCGUGUGCUCUCCUGAGCCUCGGUCCCUCGUCUGCGGGUGGGGCAGCGCUGGUCACCGUCUGGAAGUGUGGCAGGGAUCGCACACGAUGCCGCUGGGGAGUGCUCACUGGGCGUCUGGCCCAGGCCCUGGGAGGUCAGCACCCAACAUGGUCAUCCGUUCCCGCUGCGCCAGAGACAGUGGGGCCCCUGCCCCGUGGAGGCGGGGAUGACUGGGCAGACAGAAAGGUGGCUGUGGAGCCCUGGGAGCAGUUCUGGGAGCCAUCGGGGGCGGGGACAAGGCCUUGGAAGGAGACACUGAGCCAGGGCCUGGGGGGAUGGGGCUGCCAGGAGCUCCCAGAGAUGGGAGAGCAGGAGUGUUCCGGAGAGGAGCCAAGUGAUUUAAGGGGAGGGAGGAGAAGGGAGGGGCAGGAAGGGUGGAGGGGGGAGGGAAGAGGGCCCCACUGCCCUGUCCUGGGGCACUGCCCUGGGGCAUGGGCUGUACUCAGCCAUUUGCUCCUAGUGAAGAGGGGACAGAGAGACAGAGGGACAGACGUCACUAUGAGACAGGAUUAUAACAAGACUGACGCAGGCUCCCUCCCACUCCUGGACCGCUCACCCUGGGGAAGCCAGCUGCCCUGCGGAGGGAGUGAGGCUCCCCAACGACCCCCCAGGGGGGCUGGAUGCUGA
Molecule: long non-coding RNA, 1251 nt
Filed under: Canis lupus dingo (dingo)
Lineage: Eukaryota; Metazoa; Chordata; Mammalia; Carnivora; Canidae
Description: lncRNA (ENSCAFG00020018635.1)
Source: RNAcentral